This 131-nucleotide small nucleolar RNA is filed under the name Dipodomys ordii (Ord's kangaroo rat). RNAcentral describes it as "Small nucleolar RNA SNORA32 (ENSDORG00000022804.2)". The record is from RNAcentral. Lineage: Eukaryota; Metazoa; Chordata; Mammalia; Rodentia; Heteromyidae.
UCCUUUUUAUUCUCUGAAGGACAGAGAAAGAGGAACCAAAGCCCAUAGACCAUAUCAGGAGCAUAAAAAAAUGUCCCCCUAGGUUUUCUAUAUAUGCUACUUUGUUAGCAGCCAACCUAUUGGGACCAUUU